UCGGUCGUGGUCCAGUGGUUAGGAUUUCUCGCUUUCAAGUUACUAUACCAUGUUAUCAUUGUCAUUACCAGAGUCCAGAGUCCAGAGUCCAGAGAACACAAUAUUGACAUAUACUCGAGUGCCGUGAAUGCCCGGGUUCGAACCCCGGCGACCGAA
Molecule: transfer RNA, 156 nt
Organism: Sphaerulina musiva SO2202
Lineage: Eukaryota; Fungi; Ascomycota; Dothideomycetes; Mycosphaerellales; Mycosphaerellaceae
Rfam family: tRNA
About the family: Transfer RNA (tRNA) molecules are approximately 80 nucleotides in length. Their secondary structure includes four short double-helical elements and three loops (D, anti-codon, and T loops). Further hydrogen bonds mediate the characteristic L-shaped molecular structure. tRNAs have two regions of fundamental functional importance: the anti-codon, which is responsible for specific mRNA codon recognition, and the 3' end, to which the tRNAs corresponding amino acid is attached (by aminoacyl-tRNA synthetases). tRNAs cope with the degeneracy of the genetic code in two manners: having more than one tRNA (with a specific anti-codon) for a particular amino acid; and 'wobble' base-pairing, i.e. permitting non-standard base-pairing at the 3rd anti-codon position.
Source: Rfam